UACGUAGGGGGCAAGCGUUGUCCGGAUUUAUUGGGCGUAAAGAGCGUGUAGGCGGCCAGACAGGUCCGUUGUGAAAACUCGAGGCUCAACCUCGAGACGUCGACGGAAACCGUAUGGCUAGAGUCCGGAAGAGGAGAGUGGAAUUCCUGGUGUAGCGGUGAAAUGCGCAGAUAUCAGGAAGAACACCCGUGGCGAAGGCGGCUCUCUGGGACGGUACUGACGCUGAGACGCGAAAGCGUGGGGAGCGAACAGG
RNAcentral lists this ribosomal RNA (253 nucleotides) under uncultured bacterium. RNAcentral's name for it is "partial 16S ribosomal RNA". It matches the Rfam family "Bacterial small subunit ribosomal RNA", at positions 524 to 776 of the family's 1533-position model. The record is from RNAcentral.